AAACUUUCAACANNGGAUCUCUUGGCUCUCGCAUCGAUGAAGAACGCAGCGAAAUGCGAUAAGUAAUGUGAAUUGCAGAAUUCAGUGAAUCAUCGAAUCUUUGAACGCACCUUGCGCCCCUUGGUAUUCCGAGGGGCAUGCCUGUUUGAGUGUCAUUA
Molecule: ribosomal RNA, 158 nt
Filed under: Arrhenia philonotis
Lineage: Eukaryota; Fungi; Basidiomycota; Agaricomycetes; Agaricales; Hygrophoraceae
Description: 5.8S ribosomal RNA
Rfam family: 5.8S ribosomal RNA
About the family: 5.8S ribosomal RNA (5.8S rRNA) is a component of the large subunit of the eukaryotic ribosome. It is transcribed by RNA polymerase I as part of the 45S precursor that also contains 18S and 28S rRNA.
Source: RNAcentral